Hyaena hyaena (striped hyena) is the source of this 2025-nucleotide long non-coding RNA. RefSeq lists it as uncharacterized. The transcript has 4 exons. Lineage: Eukaryota; Metazoa; Chordata; Mammalia; Carnivora; Hyaenidae. The record is from RefSeq and is a predicted model, not a curated record.
UGCUCAUGCUUUAGGUCUCCCAGUUUUGGAUAUCACUUUACUGCAUGGCCAGACUGAGCCUUGAUUCUUUCUUUUAAUUAUAAUGAGACAGAGACUUCCACCUUUCAAGGGACCGAGGCUCAUGAAAGGUUUCCACGUGCCCCUUAUUCUCUGUCCAACUCAGUGCCCAAAUAAUGUUCCAGACUUAACUGCACUGCCUUCAGCCAUCUGCCUCAAGGUGAGAGAUUUAAAAGUCUCAAGGAUCCAGACACCCAGAGCUGGCAUCGUUCCCCCAUAGCCUGCAAGACAGCAGUGACAGAAAGAUGACACAAUUCUGCAUCUGCAGAUGUGACCGGGAUGUGCCUUUCCUGGGGUAAAACUGAAAGACGACUAGUAACCUCAAGAAUGAAGAAAGGUAUAAUUCUUUGUGUCUCCAUAGGAUACUACUGGUAUAUUAUCUAAAGAUCUGGAUGACCAGAAGGAGGUGGCCUGGGAAGAUCCACAGGAAAAGUGUUCCAGAAAGAACAGCAAACAAAGCCUACCUGGAGGGGGUGACUGGAGCAAGAGGGAACUGAAGUCUGUCUUUGUGUGUUACGUGGGAGCAAAGAUCAUGUGACUUGGAAGUGUGGUGUGCAAAUGAAGAUGAGCUGAUUUAACUCUGAGAUUCUGGGGGAGGCAGAAAGUGAAGAACCGAAGUGGAUGUAUGACAUCUGGAACCCAACUGAAUCCAGCUCAUAUACAUGACUGCCACAGUAAAUUCUCCUAUGCCCUCUCCUAUGCCAUGUUUAUGCCUAGACAUUUCCUUGCAAGCAAGCUGUGUUCUUUGUUUCCAGAUUGGGUAGGGCUUUCUCUUCCUGCUUGACAACGAGGUCCUGAUAAAUGUAGAAAUGUAGUAAAUAAUCCGUGCACCAUGAUUCAUUUCUUCUCUAUCACAAUGUGAUCAAUCACCGUAGGUUAGUAAGUGCUGAUAGAUUAGGUUUCAAAUUUUGUAAAAACAAGGCUAGCACUUAACAUUGAGGGCCAGCUGAAGGCACUGGUUUUUCUCAGCCUUUGGACUGAGAUGAAUGUAUCGUAGAGGCUAAUCUUAGAGAACAAGCUUGAGCACUGGAAACUUGAUCAAAGCAAAAGGCCCAUGGUGGCCCCCUGGCUGAACACAGACAGGUCCAUCAGGCGGUCCACCUCAAAAUAUUCAUAGGCCCUAACCAAUGGGUUAGUUACAACCAGGCACAGUUACCAAAAAAGGGAAAAUUCCAUACAUCCCCCUAUCUCCUCACUUUUUCUCUUUAAAAACAGCCCCCGCCCACUGCCUCCUUGCAGAUAGUCUCUCUGCUGUCCUGCCUGCUGCUCCCUUGUGGAUUCAGUAAAUUUCUCUCUCUUUGGUUCUGCUUCAGGCGAAUUCUUUUCACCACCCACGCUACUGGCUUUCACCCCUACAUUUGGGGGCUCCCACCUGAUCUGGUUGGGAGAGACAUCACAUUUAGACACCACAAAUGUGAGUUCCAGCUCUUCAUUUUCAGCCAUAUGAUGGCAGUUGCCUUUGCUAAGCCUCAGUUUCCUUCUCUAUAAAAUGGGGAUAAUAUAGUACCAUAUCCAUUAAAUGAUACAAUACAUAUAAAACACCUACCACAUACAGAAAGCACUCAAAAAUUUUAAAUUAUUUUUAUGGAUUUAAUCUUAAUGUAAUGAUUUUCCAUUCUUGCAUGCCACAAAAUGUGUGUGUGCAUGUGUGUGUGUGUGUUUGUGUGUGUGUGACAAUAAAUAUGCUAUAGAAAUGAGAACCAAUCUUUGUGUUUAUAAUAGCAGAAUGGUUAUUGCCAAGUUGAUGAUAUGCUCCAUUAUCUGGUUUCUUUCACACAAGAUAAUGUCUGUGAGAUAAAUCCAUAUUGUUGCUGUAUUAAGAGUUUUCUCCUUUUUAUUGAGGAAUAGUAUUCAAUUGUAUGACUAUACCACAAUUUAUUCACCUCUGGAUGGAUAUUUAGGACAUUUCCAGUGUAAACUUAAAGAAAAAAUUUUAAUGUUUAUUCAUUUUUGAGAGAGAGAUAGAAC